UCAAUGUAUUCAAGAAUGAUUGUUGAUUCAACUAUUGGUUUUUCAUUAUGUACAAGAAUUGGGAUCAUCUUAUAGAUAGGGUUAUAUGUCAAAAGAUGUUGGCUUUUGUUAGAAAGAUCUUCUUCUAUGUAUUCAUAACUAAUAUUUUUGUGUUUCAAAGCCCAAAUGAUCCUAUGACUAAAGGGACUUGGAAAAGCUCCAAACAAUUUCACUUGCUCUUCCAUUUUUUUUUCCUCCCUAAUAAGUUGUG
Molecule: unclassified non-coding RNA, 250 nt
Filed under: Hevea brasiliensis (rubber tree)
Lineage: Eukaryota; Viridiplantae; Streptophyta; Magnoliopsida; Malpighiales; Euphorbiaceae
Source: RNAcentral